This 361-nucleotide ribosomal RNA is filed under the name uncultured bacterium. Its description in RNAcentral is "bacterial SSU rRNA". It matches the Rfam family "Bacterial small subunit ribosomal RNA", at positions 355 to 732 of the family's 1533-position model. The record is from RNAcentral.
UAGGGAAUAUUGGUUAAUGUGCGAAAGCGCGAACCAGCAAAGCCGCGUGUGCGAUGAAGGCGUUCGGGUCGUAAAGCACUUUUUGCGGGGAAGAGGAAGGACGGUACCUGCAGAAUUAGUCUCGGCUAACUACGUGCCAGCAGCCGCGGUAAAACGUAGGAGACGAGCGUCAUCCGGAUUUACUGGGCGUAAAGCGCGUGCAGGCGGCAUGGCAAGUUGGAUGUGAAAGCUCCCGGCUUAACUGGGAGAGGUCGUUCAAUACGGCGAGGAUUGAGAGUGGUAGAGGGAAGCGGAAUUCCGGGUGUAGGGGGGAAAUGCGUAGAUAUCCAGAGAGACACCAGAGGGGAGAGCGGCUUCCUGG